ACAACGUGGGAUCGUUCUUCCUCUUUCAGGCCCAAGUCUGCACGGCAACGAGCUUCUUCAACUCUCUAUGUCAAAAGGCUAUCAGCACCUUGCAGGAUGGAGCCCCCUCUUCGAGUCAGUUCAGUUUGCAGAGAUUUGGGAACUGGAUCUCUUGGUGUGAUGCUGUUUGGUUUUUACUUUCACGGGUCUCAUCUCUUAUCUCCUGAGAGCAGAGAAACAGAUACUUCCUUCAAAGAGGCAGAUCAGCUAACAUCCCAGAAGGCAUUGAGGCAUAGACGGAGUCAAUCUCAAAUGGCCACUCCAGUUCUGAUCAUUGUUCUCAUUAAAUCAAAUGGAUCAUCAUUUUGGAAAGAGAGCUCGCUACCUG
RNAcentral lists this long non-coding RNA (367 nucleotides) under Gopherus agassizii (Agassiz's desert tortoise). Its description in RNAcentral is "lncRNA (ENSGAGG00000001125.1)". The record is from RNAcentral. Lineage: Eukaryota; Metazoa; Chordata; Testudines; Testudinidae.